GAUGAACGCUGGCGGCGUGCUUAACACAUGCAAGUCGAACGGAGUGGCGAACGGGUGAGUAACACGUGAGCAACUGCCCCUGACUUUGGGAUAAGCACUGGAAACGGCGUCUAAUACCGGAUAGGGAUGAGCUCGCGGCCUAUCAGCUAGUUGGUGAGGUAAUGGCUCACCAAGGCGUCGACGGGUAGCCGGCCUGAGAGGGGACCGGCCACACUGGGCUGAGACACGGCCCAGACUCCUACGGGAGGCAGCAGUGGGGAAUAUUGCACAAUGGGCGCAAGCCUGAUGCAGCAACGCCGCGUGAGGGACGACGGCCUUCGGGUUGUAAACCUCUUUUAGCAGGGAAGCGGUACCUGCAGAAAAAGCACCGGCUAACUACGUGCCAGCAGCCGCGGUAAUACGUAGGGUGCAAGCGUUAUCCGGAAUUAUUGGGCGUAAAGAGCUCGUAGGCGGUUUGUCGCGUCUGCUGUGAAAACUGGGGGCUCAACCCCCAGCCUGCAGUGGGUACGGGCAGACUAGAGUGCGGUAGGGGAGAUUGGAAUUCCUGGUGUAGCGGUGGAAUGCACAGAUAUC
This 573-nucleotide ribosomal RNA is filed under the name uncultured bacterium. RNAcentral's name for it is "bacterial SSU rRNA". It matches the Rfam family "Bacterial small subunit ribosomal RNA", at positions 28 to 698 of the family's 1533-position model. The record is from RNAcentral.